GAUGAACGCUAGCUACAGGCUUAACACAUGCAAGUCGAGGGGUAACGAGAGGAAAGCUUGCUUUCCUUGUCGACGACCGGCGCACGGGUGAGUAACGCGUAUCCAGCCUGCCCCCAACUAGGGAAUAACCUUGCGAAAGUAAGACUAAUACCCUAUAAUUUCCUCAGAUGACAUCUGACGAGGAAUAAAGAUUUAUCGGUUGUGGAUGGGGAUGCGUCUGAUUAGCUUGUUGGCGGGGUAACGGCCCACCAAGGCAACGAUCAGUAGGGGUUCUGAGAGGAAGGUCCCCCACAUUGGAACUGAUACACGGUCCAAACUCCUACGGGAGGAAGCAGUGAGGAAUAUUGGUAAAUGGGCGGAAGCCUGAACCAGCCAAGUAGCGUGCAGGAUGACGGCCCUAUGGGUUGUAAACUGCUUUUAUACAGGAAUAAAGUUAGCCACGUGUGGUUAUUUGUAGGUACUGUAUGAAUAAGGACCGGCUAAUUCCGUGCCAGCCGCCGCAGUAA
RNAcentral lists this ribosomal RNA (506 nucleotides) under uncultured bacterium. Its description in RNAcentral is "partial 16S ribosomal RNA". It matches the Rfam family "Bacterial small subunit ribosomal RNA", at positions 28 to 523 of the family's 1533-position model. The record is from RNAcentral.